ACCCGCUGAACUUAAGCAUAUCAAUAAGCGGAGGAAAAGAAACCAACAGGGAUUGCCCCAGUAACGGCGAGUGAAGCGGCAACAGCUCAAAUUUGAAAUCUGGCCCCAGGCCCGAGUUGUAAUUUGCAGAGGAUGCUUUUGGCGCGGUGCCUUCCGAGUUCCCUGGAACGGGACGCCAUAGAGGGUGAGAGCCCCGUACGGUUGGACACCAAGCCUUUGUAAAGCUCCUUCGACGAGUCGAGUAGUUUGGGAAUGCUGCUCUAAAUGGGAGGUACAUUUCUUCUAAAGCUAAAUAUUGGCCAGAGACCGAUAGCGCACAAGUAGAGUGAUCGAAAGAUGAAAAGCACUUUGAAGAGAGGGUUAAACAGCACGUGAAAUUGUUAAAAGGGAAGCGCUUGUGACCAGACUUGCGUCCGGUGAAUCACCCAGCUCUCGCGGCUGGGGCACUUCGCCGGCACAGGCCAGCAUCAGCUUGCCGUCGGGGACAAAAGCUUCAGGAACGUGGCUCCUCUCGGGGAGUGUUAUAGCCUGUUGUAUAAUACCCUUCGGCGGGCUGAGGUACGCGCUCCGCAAGGAUGCUGGCGUAAUGGUCAUCAGCGACCCGUCUUGAAACACGGACCAAGGAGUCAACCUUAUGUGCGAGUGUUUGGGUGUUAAACCCCUACGCGUAAUGAAAGUGAACGCAGGUGAGAGCUUCGGCGCAUCAUCGACCGAUCCUGAUGUUCUCGGAUGGAUUUGAGUAAGAGCAUAUAGGGUUGGACCCGAAAGAAGGUGAACUAUGCGUGUGUAGGGUGAAGCCAGAGGAAACUCUGGUGGAGGCUCGCAGCGGUUCUGACGUGCAAAUCGAUCGUCAAACAUGCGCAUGGGGGCGAAAGACUAAUCGAACCUUCUAGUAGCUGGUUUCCGCCGAAGUUUCCCUCAGGA
RNAcentral lists this ribosomal RNA (924 nucleotides) under Colletotrichum acutatum. RNAcentral describes it as "eukaryotic LSU rRNA". It matches the Rfam family "Eukaryotic large subunit ribosomal RNA", at positions 23 to 978 of the family's 3401-position model. The record is from RNAcentral. Lineage: Eukaryota; Fungi; Ascomycota; Sordariomycetes; Glomerellales; Glomerellaceae.